This 253-nucleotide ribosomal RNA is filed under the name uncultured bacterium. RNAcentral's name for it is "partial 16S ribosomal RNA". It matches the Rfam family "Bacterial small subunit ribosomal RNA", at positions 524 to 776 of the family's 1533-position model. The record is from RNAcentral.
UACGUAGGGUGCAAGCGUUAAUCGGAAUUACUGGGCGUAAAGCGUGCGCAGGCGGUGAUGUAAGACAGGUGUGAAAUCCCCGGGCUUAACCUGGGAACUGCAUUUGUGACUGCAUCGCUGGAGUGCGGCAGAGGGGGAUGGAAUUCCGCGUGUAGCAGUGAAAUGCGUAGAUAUGCGGAGGAACACCGAUGGCGAAGGCAAUCCCCUGGGCCUGCGCUGACGCUCAUGCACGAAAGCGUGGGGAGCAAACAGG